UGGAUGUAGAUCAGUGUUAGAGCACUCACCUAGCAUGUGUUAAGUCCUGGGUUCAAUCCCCAGUACCACAA
Molecule: transfer RNA, 71 nt
Filed under: Marmota monax (woodchuck)
Lineage: Eukaryota; Metazoa; Chordata; Mammalia; Rodentia; Sciuridae
Description: tRNA.Ala
Source: RNAcentral